AAAGUCGUAACAAGGUAACCGUAGGUGAACCUGCGGUUGGAUCAUUAAAAAUUUGACUCGGCUAGGGACCAUGUACUGGCUCUGGCUUGAGGGCGACGAUCUCUUUGUGCAUUUCAUUGGCUGGAUGAUGAUCAUGAUCUGUAAGAAAUGAUUGAUUGGACGCCUUUGUCUGUACACAAAUUGUUUCGGACAUUUUGUGAACUGUUUUGUCUCUGGCGGCCGGGUGAAAACAGACUUUUGCCAGAAGUCUGAUUUUAUCUGUCAGCUUGGGAAACCAAGCCGUGGACAAACCGCCAACUUAUUUUAACCCAACAUUAGAUUUUUUGUCUAACAUUACUUUGUAUAAAUAUACAAACAACUUUUGGCAACGGAUCUCUUGGCUCUC
RNAcentral lists this unclassified non-coding RNA (385 nucleotides) under Chytridiomycota sp. RNAcentral describes it as "partial contains small subunit ribosomal RNA, internal transcribed spacer 1, and 5.8S ribosomal RNA". The stretch from base 1 to 47 matches the Rfam family "Eukaryotic small subunit ribosomal RNA", at positions 1785 to 1831 of the family's 1831-position model. The record is from RNAcentral. Lineage: Eukaryota; Fungi; Chytridiomycota.